Molecule: non-coding RNA, 28 nt
Filed under: Mus musculus (house mouse)
Lineage: Eukaryota; Metazoa; Chordata; Mammalia; Rodentia; Muridae
Source: RNAcentral
UGAGUUCCUGCGGGUAGCCUGAGGAUAU